CGAAAGUCGGCGAGCAGUCAAGGUAGUAGACGGAAAGCAAAGGAAAGACCGGGUGAUAUUAUAAUUUAAAAAGAAGUCACGAGAUUUUCCGCGCUCAAAGUUAACAAAUUUAACAAUGCUUAAAGCUGGUCCGGGGCAGCCUAUAAAUUUUGCGGACAUAUUGGACGUUUAACAAGGGCCUUGUCUCCACGUGGGCCCCCCGUUCUUCGCCAUCCCUCCGCCUUCCGUCAAACCUUUUGCAUUUCUAUCAUUUAUUUAUAUAGAAUAUGUCAUAUUGCGAAACAGAACGUGCAAACCUGACGUCCAGGGUGAGAAUUUUUAAAAGGGUCGCUAACAAACGUCCACGUGGAGACUCCCUGUAAGUCCAUAAAAGUUAUAGGACCCCCGGACCAGCCAAUAAGGUCCGAUAACUUUGAGCGCGAAAAUUUUGUGAGCUCCUUUUUGAAAUCUACUUGCACCCGGUCUUCUGUACACUUUCAGUCUACAACCCUGACUGCUUGCCGGCCUGCGUCGUUGACCGAACCGAAAAUGUCGCAGAACCAGUCGCCCUCGCCGAUUCCUUCUGGCAAUAU
Molecule: long non-coding RNA, 572 nt
Filed under: Volvox carteri
Lineage: Eukaryota; Viridiplantae; Chlorophyta; Chlorophyceae; Chlamydomonadales; Volvocaceae
Description: long non-coding RNA (VCAR_LNC002417)
Source: RNAcentral